GUGAAUCAUCAAAUUUUUGAACGCAAAUUGCACUCUCUACGGAGAGUAUGCCUGUUUGAGGGCCAGUAUUAAUAAAAAUCGGUGUGUUGCUUCUUUGUGACGCUCCGGGGUUUGCGUCAUCUUAAUAUCCUUUAGGUUGUAAGAGCCAUAAAACUGACUUUUUUUGCGCUUUUUUAGACGUACA
Molecule: unclassified non-coding RNA, 184 nt
Filed under: Glomeraceae sp.
Lineage: Eukaryota; Fungi; Glomeromycota; Glomeromycetes; Glomerales; Glomeraceae
Description: partial contains 5.8S ribosomal RNA and internal transcribed spacer 2
Rfam family: 5.8S ribosomal RNA (bases 1-65)
Source: RNAcentral